RNAcentral lists this ribosomal RNA (254 nucleotides) under uncultured bacterium. RNAcentral's name for it is "partial 16S ribosomal RNA". It matches the Rfam family "Bacterial small subunit ribosomal RNA", at positions 524 to 776 of the family's 1533-position model. The record is from RNAcentral.
UACGUAGGGUGCAAGCGUUGUCCGGAAUUAUUGGGCGUAAAGAGCUCGUAGGCGGUUUGGUAAGUCGGGUGUGAAAACCCCAGGCUCAACCUGGGGACGCCACCUGAUACUGCUAUGACUUGAGUCUGGUAGGGGAUCACGGAAUUCCUGGUGUAGCGGUGAAAUGCGCAGAUAUCAGGAGGAACACCGGUGGCGAAGGCGGUGAUCUGGGCCAGUACUGACGCUGAGGAGCGAAAGCGUGGGUAGCAAACAGG